CUGCGGAGGGAUCAUUACCGAGUUUACAACUCCCAAACCCCUGUGAACAUACCACUUGUUGCCUCGGCGGAUCAGCCCGCUCCCGGUAAAACGGGACGGCCCGCCAGAGGACCCCUAAACUCUGUUUCUAUAUGUAACUUCUGAGUAAAACCAUAAAUAAAUCAAAACUUUCAACAACGGAUCUCUUGGUUCUGGCAUCGAUGAAGAACGCAGCAAAAUGCGAUAAGUAAUGUGAAUUGCAGAAUUCAGUGAAUCAUCGAAUCUUUGAACGCACAUUGCGCCCGCCAGUAUUCUGGCGGGCAUGCCUGUUCGAGCGUCAUUUCAACCCUCAAGCACAGCUUGGUGUUGGGACUCGCGUUAAUUCGCGUUCCCCAAAUUGAUUGGCGGUCACGUCGAGCUUCCAUAGCGUAGUAGUAAAACCCUCGUUACUGGUAAUCGUCGCGGCCACGCCGUUAAACCCCAACUUCUGAAUGUGACCUCGGAUCA
Molecule: ribosomal RNA, 486 nt
Filed under: Fusarium oxysporum
Lineage: Eukaryota; Fungi; Ascomycota; Sordariomycetes; Hypocreales; Nectriaceae
Description: eukaryotic LSU rRNA
Rfam family: 5.8S ribosomal RNA (bases 166-319)
Source: RNAcentral